RNAcentral lists this ribosomal RNA (253 nucleotides) under uncultured bacterium. RNAcentral describes it as "partial 16S ribosomal RNA". It matches the Rfam family "Bacterial small subunit ribosomal RNA", at positions 524 to 776 of the family's 1533-position model. The record is from RNAcentral.
UACGUAGGGUGCAAGCGUUGUCCGGAAUUAUUGGGCGUAAAGAGCUCGUAGGCGGUCUGUCGCGUCUGCUGUGAAAACUCAGGGCUUAACCCUGAGCUUGCAGUGGGUACGGGCAGACUAGAGUGCGGUAGGGGUGACUGGAAUUCCUGGUGUAGCGGUGGAAUGCGCAGAUAUCAGGAGGAACACCGAUGGCGAAGGCAGGUCACUGGGCCGCAACUGACGCUGAGGAGCGAAAGCAUGGGGAGCGAACAGG